GUGCUUGCUUCGGCAGCACAUGUACUAAAAUUGGAAUGAUACAAAGAUUAGCCUGGCCCCUGUGUAAGUAUGACACCCAAAUUCAUGAAGCAUUCUAUAUUUUU
Myotis daubentonii (Daubenton's bat) is the source of this 104-nucleotide small nuclear RNA. The record is from RefSeq and is a predicted model, not a curated record. NCBI's taxonomy places the organism in Eukaryota, Metazoa, Chordata, Mammalia, Chiroptera, Vespertilionidae.